This 253-nucleotide ribosomal RNA is filed under the name uncultured bacterium. Its description in RNAcentral is "partial 16S ribosomal RNA". It matches the Rfam family "Bacterial small subunit ribosomal RNA", at positions 524 to 776 of the family's 1533-position model. The record is from RNAcentral.
UACGUAGGCAGCAAGCGUUGUUCGGAGUUACUGGGCGUAAAGGGUGCGUAGGCGGUCCUAUAAGUAUGGUGUGAAAUCUCCCGGCUUAACUGGGAGGGUGCGCUAUAGACUGUGGGACUAGAGUGUGGGAGAGGAAAGUGGAAUUCCUGGUGUAGCGGUGAAAUGCGUAGAUAUCAGGAGGAACACCGGUGGUGUAGACGGCUUUCUGGACCAUAACUGACGCUGAGGCACGAAAGCGUGGGUAGCAAACAGG